AACGAACGCUGGCGGCAGGCCUAACACAUGCAAGUCGAGCGAGGACUUCGGUUCUAGCGGCGGACGGGUGAGUAACGCGUGGGAAUGUGCCCUUCUCUACGGAAUAGCCCUGGGAAACUGGGAGUAAUACCGUAUACGCCCUAUUGGGGAAAGAUUUAUCGGAGAAGGAUCAGCCCGCGUUGGAUUAGGUAGUUGGUGGGGUAAUGGCCUACCAAGCCGACGAUGCAGAGCUGGUUUGAGAGGAUGAUCAGCCACACUGGGACUGAGACACGGCCCAGACUCCUACGGGAGGGAGCAGUGGGGAAUCUUAGACAAUGGGGGCAACCCUGAUAAAGCCAUGCCGGGUAAGUGAUGAAGGCCUUAGGGUUGUAAAGCUCUUUCAGCUGGGAAGAUAAUGACGGUACCAGCAGAAGAAGCCCCGGCUAACUCCGUG
Molecule: ribosomal RNA, 433 nt
Filed under: uncultured bacterium
Lineage: Bacteria
Description: partial 16S ribosomal RNA
Rfam family: Bacterial small subunit ribosomal RNA
Source: RNAcentral